CCCUUAGAUGUUCUGGGCCGCACGCGCGCUACACUGACGAAUGCAACGAGCUUAUAACCUUGGCCGAAAGGUCUGGGUAAUCUCCAAAUUUCGUCGUGAUGGGGAUAGAUUAUUGCAAUUAUUAAUCUUCAACGAGGAAUUCCUAGUAAACGCAAGUCAUCAGCUUGCAUUGAUUACGUCCCUGCCCUUUGUACACACCGCCCGUCGCACCUACCGAUUGAAUGGUCCGGUGAAAUCUUCGGAUCUGAGAGAUGUCUGAUUAAUUUCGGACGCCUUUUGGAAAAGUUGCUUAAACCUUACCAUUUAGAGGAAGGUGAAGUCGUANCA
RNAcentral lists this ribosomal RNA (327 nucleotides) under uncultured eukaryote. RNAcentral's name for it is "partial 18S ribosomal RNA". It matches the Rfam family "Eukaryotic small subunit ribosomal RNA", at positions 1470 to 1796 of the family's 1831-position model. The record is from RNAcentral.